Eupeodes corollae is the source of this 686-nucleotide long non-coding RNA. RefSeq lists it as uncharacterized. NCBI's taxonomy places the organism in Eukaryota, Metazoa, Arthropoda, Insecta, Diptera, Syrphidae. The transcript has 3 exons. The record is from RefSeq and is a predicted model, not a curated record.
AUCAAAACAAAAGUGAAAAUUAAUAAAACAAAGUUGUUAAUAGUACUGCUGAUUAACUGUUGUAUCUAUAUUAUAUAAAUAAUUUUAUACAAAAUGAUCCAGAGUCAACUAAUUCAUCGAUCUAAAAAGUGACUUCAUCAUAUCCGAAGAAGUAUUUCCCUACGUAACUUGGCUCUAGCUGAUAGAGGAUUCUUUCAGGAUCUCUUUCCAGACACCGCUGGGUAAACAACAAUCAAUCUACGCCGGCUUUGAUCAAGCUGCCGAUAGUCUAACGUUGGCAAUCUCCUGGUAAUAAUUGGACUUCUGCAUGGCAUCGAGAAAGACACAAUCCAAUUGCGUUAGUUGGAAUACGGGUCUUAUCGGUAAUCCUAGUGGCAAAACAAAACGAAAUAAACUAGGGUUGUCGGUCAUUGAGACAAAUUAGAGUCGUCAACAAUGCAUCAUGGUAAGAAAAUCUGAAUGUAGAGGACUUUGUUGCCAAUAUGGGAAGACACUUUCGAAUGGGAUUACUGCUCUCAAUAUCGUCAGUCCAGUCGCGACUUAAUAGUGCAGCUAGAAUGAGCUUUACCGAAUUCACAUAACAAAUUUUCCAGGGUUAUGACUUGUUGCAUUUGCUUCAGAAAUACAAUUGUCGCUUUCAAAUGGGAGGCAGUGAACAAAUGGGUAACUUAAUGACUGGCCACGAA